This 2876-nucleotide ribosomal RNA is filed under the name Acinetobacter baumannii 44857_10. RNAcentral describes it as "bacterial LSU rRNA". It matches the Rfam family "Bacterial large subunit ribosomal RNA". Lineage: Bacteria; Pseudomonadati; Pseudomonadota; Gammaproteobacteria; Moraxellales; Moraxellaceae. The record is from RNAcentral.
CAAGUAAUUAAGUGCAUGUGGUGGAUGCCUUGGCAGUCAGAGGCGAUGAAAGACGUGAUAGCCUGCGAAAAGCUCCGGGGAGGCGGCAAAUAUCCUUUGAUCCGGAGAUGUCUGAAUGGGGGAACCCACCUACUUUAAGGUAGGUAUUGCAACAUGAAUACAUAGUGUUGCAAGGCGAACGAGGGGAAGUGAAACAUCUCAGUACCCUUAGGAAAAGAAAUCAAUUGAGAUUCCCUCAGUAGCGGCGAGCGAACGGGGAUCAGCCCAUUAAGUUAUGUGUGUUUUAGUGGAACGCUCUGGGAAGUGCGAACGUAGAGGGUGAUAUUCCCGUACACGAAAGGGCACACAUAAUGAUGACGAGUAGGGCGAGGCACGUGAAACCUUGUCUGAAUAUGGGGGGACCAUCCUCCAAGGCUAAAUACUCCUGACUGACCGAUAGUGAACCAGUACCGUGAGGGAAAGGCGAAAAGAACCCCUGUGAGGGGAGUGAAAUAGAUCCUGAAACCGCAUGCAUACAAGCAGUGGGAGCACCUUCGUGGUGUGACUGCGUACCUUUUGUAUAAUGGGUCAGCGACUUAUAUUCAGUAGCGAGGUUAACCGUAUAGGGGAGCCGUAGAGAAAUCGAGUCUUAAUAGGGCGUUUAGUUGCUGGGUAUAGACCCGAAACCAGGCGAUCUAUCCAUGAGCAGGUUGAAGGUUGGGUAACACUAACUGGAGGACCGAACCCACUGUCGUUGAAAAGCCAGGGGAUGACUUGUGGAUAGGGGUGAAAGGCUAAUCAAGCCUGGUGAUAGCUGGUUCUCCCCGAAAGCUAUUUAGGUAGCGCCUCGGACGAAUACCAUAGGGGGUAGAGCACUGUUUCGGCUAGGGGGUCAUCCCGACUUACCAAACCGAUGCAAACUCCGAAUACCUAUGAGUACUAUCCGGGAGACAGACUGCGGGUGCUAACGUCCGUAGUCAAGAGGAAAACAAUCCAGACCGCCAGCUAAGGCCCCAAAAUCAUAGUUAAGUGGGAAACGAUGUGGGAAGGCAUAGACAGCUAGGAGGUUGGCUUAGAAGCAGCCACCCUUUAAAGAAAGCGUAAUAGCUCACUAGUCGAGUCGGCCUGCGCGGAAGAUGUAACGGGGCUAAAACUAUGUGCCGAAGCUGCGGAUGUAUACUUUGUAUACGUGGUAGGGGAGCGUUCUGUAAGCCGAUGAAGGUGUGUUGAGAAGCAUGCUGGAGGUAUCAGAAGUGCGAAUGCUGACGUGAGUAACGACAAAACGGGUGAAAAACCCGUUCGCCGAAAGACCAAGGGUUCCAGUCCAACGUUAAUCGGGGCUGGGUGAGUCGACCCCUAAGGCGAGGCCGAAAGGCGUAGUCGAUGGGAAAAUGGUUAAUAUUCCAUUACUUCUGUGUAAUGCGAUGAGAGGACGGAGAAGGCUAAAUCAGCCUGGCGUUGGUUGUCCAGGUGAAAGGAUGUAGGCAUGUAUCUUAGGCAAAUCCGGGGUACUCUAUGCUGAGAUCUGAUAGCAAGCUGUACUUGUACAGCGAAGUGGUUGAUGCCAUGCUUCCAGGAAAAGUCUCUAAGCUUCAGUUACACAGGAAUCGUACCCGAAACCGACACAGGUGGUCAGGUCGAGUAGACCAAGGCGCUUGAGAGAACUCUGCUGAAGGAACUAGGCAAAAUGGUACCGUAACUUCGGGAGAAGGUACGCUGUUGUUGGUGAUGGAACUCGCUUCCUGAGCUGACGACAGCCGCAGAAACCAGGCCGCUGCAACUGUUUAUUAAAAACAUAGCACUCUGCAAACACGAAAGUGGACGUAUAGGGUGUGAUGCCUGCCCGGUGCUGGAAGGUUAAUUGAUGGGGUUAGCGUAAGCGAAGCUCUUGAUCGAAGCCCCAGUAAACGGCGGCCGUAACUAUAACGGUCCUAAGGUAGCGAAAUUCCUUGUCGGGUAAGUUCCGACCUGCACGAAUGGCAUAAUGAUGGCGGCGCUGUCUCCAGCAGAGGCUCAGUGAAAUCGAAAUCGCUGUGAAGAUGCAGUGUACCCGCGGCUAGACGGAAAGACCCCGUGAACCUUUACUGCAGCUUGACACUGAACUUUGACCUUACUUGUGUAGGAUAGGUGGGAGGCUUUGAAGCUGGAACGCUAGUUCCAGUGGAGCCGUCCUUGAAAUACCACCCUGGUAAUGUUGAGGUUCUAACUCUGUCCCGUGAUCCGGGACGAGGACCGUGUCUGGUGGGUAGUUUGACUGGGGCGGUCUCCUCCUAAAGAGUAACGGAGGAGUACGAAGGUGCGCUCAGCGUGGUCGGAAAUCACGCGUAGAGUAUAAAGGCAAAAGCGCGCUUAACUGCGAGACCCACAAGUCGAGCAGGUACGAAAGUAGGUCUUAGUGAUCCGGUGGUUCUGUAUGGAAGGGCCAUCGCUCAACGGAUAAAAGGUACUCUGGGGAUAACAGGCUGAUACCGCCCAAGAGUUCAUAUCGACGGCGGUGUUUGGCACCUCGAUGUCGGCUCAUCUCAUCCUGGGGCUGAAGCAGGUCCCAAGGGUAUGGCUGUUCGCCAUUUAAAGAGGUACGCGAGCUGGGUUUAGAACGUCGUGAGACAGUUCGGUCCCUAUCUACCGUGGGCGCUGGAAAUUUGAGAGGAUCUGCUCCUAGUACGAGAGGACCAGAGUGGACGAACCUCUGGUGUACCGGUUGUGACGCCAGUCGCAUCGCCGGGUAGCUAUGUUCGGAAGGGAUAACCGCUGAAAGCAUCUAAGCGGGAAGCCUACCUCAAGAUAAGAUUUCCCUAGGACUUUAUGUCCUCUAAAGAGCCGUUCGAGACUAGGACGUUGAUAGGUUGGAUGUGGAAGCAUAGUGAUAUGUGAAGCUGACCAAUACUAAUUGCUCG